AGAGUUUGAUCCUGGCUCAGAACGAACGCUGGUGGCGUGUUUUAUACAUGCAAGUCGAGCGAGGACAGUAGCUUGCUACUGAGCCGUGCGGCGAACGGGUGAGUAACGCGUAAGCAAUCUGCCCCACAAUCGGGAACAACCGUGCCAACGCGCGGCUAAUGCCGGAUAUUGUGUCCUACUGCAUAGUAGGUUAACGAAAGAUUUAUCGUUGUGGGAUGAGCUUGCGUCCGAUUAGCUAGUUGGCGGGGUAAUAGCCCACCAAGGCGACGAUCGGUAGCCGGCCUGAGAGGGUGAUCGGCCACAUUGGGACUGAGAUACGGCCCAGACUCCUACGGGAGGCAGCAGUAGGGAAUAUUGCGCAAUGGGGGGAACCCUGACGCAGCAACGCCACGUGUGGGAAGAAGCAUUUCGGUGUGUAAACCACUGUCGGAAAGGAAUAACGGAAGACUUCGGUCUUUAUGAAUGUACUUUUAGAGGAAGCACCGGCAAACUUCGUGCCAGCAGCCGCGGUAAUACGAGGGGUGCAAGCGUUGUUCGGAAUCACUGGGCGUAAAGGGAGCGUAGGCGGAAGUGCAAGCAAUCUGUAUAAUCCUGGGGCCCAACCCCAGUUCUGCAGAUCGGACUGUACUUCUUGAAUAGUUCAGAGGCAAGCGGAAUUUCUGGUGUAGCGGUGGAAUGCGUAGAGAUCAGAAAGAACACCAAUGGCGAAGGCAGCUUGCUGGGGACUUAUUGACGCUGAGGCUCGAAAGUGUGGGUAGCAAACAGGAUUAGAUACCCUGGUAGUCCACACUGUAAACGAUGCAUACUGGGUGUCCGAAAUUCGUUUCCGGUACCGUAGCUAACGCGUUAAGUAUGCCGCCUGGGGAGUACGUACGCAAGUAUGAAACUCAAAGGAAUUGACGGGGGCCCGCACAAGCGGUGGAGCAUGUGGUUUAAUUCGAAGCAACGCGCAGAACCUUACCAGGGUUUGACAUGGAAUCGCCGCAGCGAGAGAUCGCUGUUUAGUAGCAAUACUACGGUUCACACAGGUGCUGCAUGGCUGUCGUCAGCUCGUGUCGUGAGAUGUUGGGUUAAGUCCCGCAACGAGCGCAACCCUUAUUGUUAGUUGCCAUCAUUAAGUUGGGCACUCUAGCGAGACUGCCCGGGUUAACCGGGAGGAAGGUGGGGAUGACGUCAAAUCAUCAUGCCCCUUAUGUCUAGGGCUACACACGUGCCACAAUGGUCGGUACAAUAAGACGCAAGCCCGCGAGGGGGAGCAAAACUGGAAAACCGAUCUCAGUUCGGAUUGUAGGCUGAAACUCGCCUACAUGAAGCUGGAGUUGCUAGUAAUCGCGAAUCAGCAUGUCGCGGUGAAUACGUUCCCGGGCCUUGCACUCACCGCCCGUCAAG
RNAcentral lists this ribosomal RNA (1389 nucleotides) under uncultured bacterium. RNAcentral describes it as "bacterial SSU rRNA". It matches the Rfam family "Bacterial small subunit ribosomal RNA". The record is from RNAcentral.